Molecule: long non-coding RNA, 701 nt
Filed under: Drosophila melanogaster (fruit fly)
Lineage: Eukaryota; Metazoa; Arthropoda; Insecta; Diptera; Drosophilidae
Description: antisense RNA:CR43460 (Dmel_CR43460)
Source: RNAcentral
AAAAACGUUAAAAAUAUCACAAGGAAAACACGCACAACCGUUGCGCAGGAGCAGCAGUGGAAAACUGACUGAUGGACACGGAAAAUCUCGGCAGGCAGAAGGAUUUAGGAGCGCUGCAGAUGACAGCAAACAAUGGACCAGGAAAAUGUUGGCCAGGAGUGGAAAAUUGACAAACAAUGGUCGCCAACCAGACCGAGGGAAGAAGAAGAAGCAGCGACGGCCACGGCGGCAUCAAUUUAAUUUAAAUAAUGUGAACUUUCAUGCCAAUGAAAAUGAUUUCAAAAGAGAAACUCAACGCAGUCCAACUCCCAAAACAAACUCGACAACUUCACUUCCGCUACAAAUGCAACAGAGGCAACAAACAACGUUCAAAACAACAACACAAACAACAUCUUGAACCACGAAAAACAACAAUGAUGACACCCACCCAACCGAGGAAAAAGGGUUAACUUUGGGCACAGGGUAAAACUAAUUGGCGGUUAGGGGUUAAGGUUAAAAAACUAUCAACUCGGAUAGAUGGCAAUUUAAGCCCCUAAGUAUAGAUUAUUAAUAUAUGUAAAUAUGUCAUAUGUAAGUUGAAAAUAGGGAUUAUAUUCUUAAUUAAAAGAAUAUUUCACUAUAUUCAAAAAUGUGUUAGGAAAACCAGGAAUCUAGCUAUAUCAUAAAUUAAAUGUUGUUCUGUAACUAUAAUAAAUCUAUAU